UACGUAGGUGGCGAGCGUUGUCCGGAAUUACUGGGUGUAAAGGGAGCGUAGGCGGGAGUGCAAGUUGAAUGUUAAAUCUAUCGGCUCAACCGAUAGCCGCGUUCAAAACUGCAUUUCUUGAGUGAAGUAGAGGUUGGCGGAAUUCCUAGUGUAGCGGUGAAAUGCGUAGAUAUUAGGAGGAACACCAGUGGCGAAGGCGGCCAACUGGGCUUUACUGACGCUGAGGCUCGAAAGCGUGGGGAGCAAACAGGAUUAGAUACCCGGGUAGUCCCUGA
This 275-nucleotide ribosomal RNA is filed under the name uncultured prokaryote. Its description in RNAcentral is "partial 16S ribosomal RNA". It matches the Rfam family "Bacterial small subunit ribosomal RNA", at positions 524 to 800 of the family's 1533-position model. The record is from RNAcentral.